GAGACACCCUUCUGGGGCAAGACUUGCUUCAUUGGGACUUUGGUGCUCACUGAAUCUGCCCCCUGAGUGUGUCCCC
RNAcentral lists this microRNA precursor (76 nucleotides) under Myotis lucifugus (little brown bat). RNAcentral's name for it is "mir-9229 microRNA precursor family". It matches the Rfam family "mir-9229 microRNA precursor family". The record is from Rfam by way of RNAcentral. Lineage: Eukaryota; Metazoa; Chordata; Mammalia; Chiroptera; Vespertilionidae.